This 403-nucleotide ribosomal RNA is filed under the name bacterium. Its description in RNAcentral is "partial 16S ribosomal RNA". It matches the Rfam family "Bacterial small subunit ribosomal RNA", at positions 355 to 776 of the family's 1533-position model. The record is from RNAcentral.
UGGGGAAUAUUGCACAAUGGGGGAAACCCUGAUGCAGCGACGCCGCGUGAACGAAGAAGGUAUUCGUAUCGUAAAGUUCUGUCCUAUGGGAAGAUAAUGACAGUACCAUAGAAGAAAGCUCCGGCUAAAUACGUGCCAGCAGCCGCGGUAAUACGUAUGGAGCGAGCGUUGUCCGGAAUUAUUGGGCGUAAAGGGUACGCAGGCGGUUUAAUAAGUCGAAUGUUAAAGAUCGGGGCUCAACCCCGCAAAGCAUUGGAAACUGAUAAACUUGAGUAGUGGAGAGGAAAGUGGAAUUCCUAGUGUAGUGGUGAAAUACGUAGAUAUUAGGAGGAAUACCAGUAGCAAAGGCGACUUUCUGGACACAAACUGACGCUGAGGUACAAAAGCGUGGGGAGCAAACAGG